UUCUUAAUCAAUGACUGAUGUGAGAGGGC
This 29-nucleotide non-coding RNA is filed under the name Rattus norvegicus (Norway rat). The record is from RNAcentral. Lineage: Eukaryota; Metazoa; Chordata; Mammalia; Rodentia; Muridae.